AUCCAGCUGACGAGUCCCAGAGGGGACGAAACGCGCAUCCUGGAU
This 45-nucleotide non-coding RNA is filed under the name Schistosoma mansoni. The record is from RNAcentral. Lineage: Eukaryota; Metazoa; Platyhelminthes; Trematoda; Strigeidida; Schistosomatidae.